Molecule: long non-coding RNA, 575 nt
Filed under: Sorghum bicolor (sorghum)
Lineage: Eukaryota; Viridiplantae; Streptophyta; Magnoliopsida; Poales; Poaceae
Description: long non-coding RNA (SBIC_LNC003717)
Source: RNAcentral
GGCCCUUGUUCUUUCAUAUUUUUAGAUGCACAACUUUUAUUAGGUUAGUUAUAUCGUGUAUAAGCCAAAAUGAUCUAUCAUUUAGUAUAGAAUUAUAUGUAGACGUACAUCGUCUCAUUCUUACCGUAGCAUAUUUUCAAUCCAAAUCUACUAUGUUUCCAAUCUAAAGCUAAUUAACAAAUCUAAAUAUAACAUGAUACUAUGUUUUGAACAGCACACGUCUACGCACAAUAUGAUAAGUUCGAUGACAAGUUAUAUUAUGAUAAAUGACGUGAUUAUUGUAUAAAAUCUUCAAACCAUAAGUUUAGGAGCAUGUUUAGUGGUCCAUCUUCCAGCGUCAAUGGCCAGUGGAGAGCUUCAGGAGUCCUGAGAUCGACACAGAGAUUCUUGUAUAGUACGCACUUCAUGUUGACCGACCGUGUAGUUAACGAAAACAUUUAGAUACUUUUGUUUAUAUUUAAUAAUUAUUAUUUAACAUAGCCAGGGACGAAGCUAUAUUGUCAUUAGAGAGUGCAAAUACAUCCUCCAAAAUUGUAAAAACAGUGAUUAUGUCUAAACUUUUACCAUAUAUGCAU